AGAAACUUAGGAUAAUAUAAACCAAGAGCCUUCAAAGCCCUAAAUAGAGACAAACCCCCUCUAGUUUCUG
This 70-nucleotide transfer RNA is filed under the name Stenocercus cupreus. Its description in RNAcentral is "tRNA-Trp". Lineage: Eukaryota; Metazoa; Chordata; Lepidosauria; Squamata; Tropiduridae. The record is from RNAcentral.